UGAUUAUAAACUAAUGUAUAAUUUACCAGAGUACUAUGAACACACAGUUUAAAACUCAAAGGGCUUGGCGGUGCUUUAGACUAUUCAGGGGAACCUGUCUAGUAAUCGAUAGUCCACGAUACACCUAACCUUUUUUAGUUAUCAGUAUGUAUACCGUCGUCGUCAGGUAACUUUUAAAAAUAAAGAAGUUAGCGAUAAAAAUUAUGAUAAUUUUGUACGUCAGAUCAAGGUGCAGCUUAUAAAAAGGUGAGGAUGGGUUACAAUUAAGAUUUAUAAUAACGGAAAAAAGCUUGAUACAGCUUUUAAUG
This 308-nucleotide ribosomal RNA is filed under the name Alviniconcha kojimai. RNAcentral describes it as "partial small subunit ribosomal RNA". Lineage: Eukaryota; Metazoa; Mollusca; Gastropoda; Provannidae. The record is from RNAcentral.